RNAcentral lists this ribosomal RNA (256 nucleotides) under uncultured bacterium. RNAcentral describes it as "partial 16S ribosomal RNA". It matches the Rfam family "Bacterial small subunit ribosomal RNA", at positions 521 to 776 of the family's 1533-position model. The record is from RNAcentral.
UAAUACGUAGGGUGCGAGCGUUGUCCGGAAUUAUUGGGCGUAAAGGGCUCGUAGGCGGUUUGUCGCGUCGGGAGUGAAAACGCCGUGCUUAACACGGCGCUUGCUUUCGAUACGGGCAGACUAGAGGUAUUCAGGGGAGAACGGAAUUCCUGGUGUAGCGGUGAAAUGCGCAGAUAUCAGGAGGAACACCGGUGGCGAAGGCGGUUCUCUGGGAAUGACCUGACGCUGAGGAGCGAAAGUGUGGGGAGCGAACAGG